AUACGGAGGGUGCAAGCGUUAAUCGGAAUUACUGGGCGUAAAGCGUACGUAGGCGGUUAUUUAAGUCAGAUGUGAAAGCCCCGGGCUUAACUUGGGAACUGCAUUUGAAACUGGGUAACUAGAGUUUAGUAGAGGGGAGUGGAAUUUCAGGUGUAGCGGUGAAAUGCGUAGAGAUCUGAAGGAACACCAGUGGCGAAGGCGACUCCCUGGACUAAAACUGACGCUGAGGUACGAAAGCGUGGGUAGCAAACAGGAUUAGAAACCCGAGUAGUCC
This 274-nucleotide ribosomal RNA is filed under the name uncultured bacterium. Its description in RNAcentral is "partial 16S ribosomal RNA". It matches the Rfam family "Bacterial small subunit ribosomal RNA", at positions 523 to 796 of the family's 1533-position model. The record is from RNAcentral.